This 26-nucleotide non-coding RNA is filed under the name Mus musculus (house mouse). The record is from RNAcentral. Lineage: Eukaryota; Metazoa; Chordata; Mammalia; Rodentia; Muridae.
UGACUAAGCAAUAAGAGCCUCAGAGU